RNAcentral lists this ribosomal RNA (482 nucleotides) under uncultured bacterium. RNAcentral describes it as "partial 16S ribosomal RNA". It matches the Rfam family "Bacterial small subunit ribosomal RNA", at positions 30 to 507 of the family's 1533-position model. The record is from RNAcentral.
AUUGAACGCUGGCGGCAUGCCUUACACAUGCAAGUCGAACGGUAACGGGCCUUCGGGUGCCGACGAGUGGCGAACGGGUGAGUAAUACAUCGGAACGUGCCCGAUCGUGGGGGAUAACGAGGCGAAAGCUUUGCUAAUACCGCAUACGAUCUACGGAUGAAAGCAGGGGACCGCAAGGCCUUGCGCGGACGGAGCGGCCGAUGGCAGAUUAGGUAGUUGGUGGGAUAAAAGCUUAACAAGCCGACGAUCUGUAGCUGAUCUGAGAGGAUGAUCAGCGACACUGGGACUGAGACACGGCCCAGACUCCUACGGGAGGCAGCAGUGGGGAAUUUUGGACAAUGGGCGCAAGCCUGAUCCAGCCAUGCCGCGUGCAGGAUGAAGGCCUUCGGGUUGUAAACUGCUUUUGUACGGAACGAAAAGCCUUCUUUUAAUACAGGAGGGUCAUGACGGUACCGUAAGAAUAAGCACCGGCUAACUACGUG